GCAUCCGGUCGGUCAACCGGCAGCAGACCGAGCAAAAGGGUGCUGUUGUCGGCAGUUGGCGGUGCACUUACGCGGUCGCCGCCGUGUCCAAGCGCACGGCGUGACAAAACGACGCCGGAUCGCCCGGAUGCGUGCUGUACUCAACAAACCCCACCGCCCAAGCGCCGACAAGCGCCGAGUCGACGCCCAAGACAGAUGCCCAGUGGACAAGUGUGUCGUGCUCUGGCGGCGUCGCCGUCGGCACCGGCAUCGCGGCAGCGGCUUUGACCAAGAGCGCCCCUGCGGGCUCGGGACCGUCGUACCAUGGACCCCUCCACGUGCAGACAUCGGCCUCGUGGAGCAUGACGUUAACGCCCAUGUCGUCGGCAAAGAGCGCGAUCCCGUUACCCAUCUCGUCGGGUGCGUGAAUGUCGCAUUGCUCCAGGAGGCGCCGCACAGAGGAGGCGCCCUGCGCAUGCGGCAUCGGCACGCGAAAACCAUAGUAGGCCUUGGCCAUCGGAUACAACCCCAUGGUCUGUGCGGGGGCCGGGGGCGUGCGACUGUCCCGACGCGCUCGCGGACGUGUGUGUGUAAAUUUUUUUUGACCGCGGCGCAUCUCUUGUGCUCACCCAUGUGGCGACAUAAUUUUCUUUUCUUUUAACCCACAAAGAAUCGUUUGUGCAUUGAUGUCGGUCACGGCGCGGCGUCAACGGGCCGUUUUCAUUCCUAGUCCAAACCGCGAUUUUUGAAUUUUCAUUGACGGAGAAAUAGGCACAACGGGCCGCCG
Molecule: long non-coding RNA, 766 nt
Filed under: Pandoravirus salinus
Description: putative ncRNA
Source: RNAcentral